RNAcentral lists this long non-coding RNA (519 nucleotides) under Capsicum annuum. RNAcentral's name for it is "long non-coding RNA (CANN_LNC011317)". The record is from RNAcentral. Lineage: Eukaryota; Viridiplantae; Streptophyta; Magnoliopsida; Solanales; Solanaceae.
UCUCAUUGUUUGGAAAGGAAAUUGCUUACACCCAUAAUAGGUACUUUUUACAAUAAAAACCCGUAAAGGGCCCUAUUAAGUCAAUACCUCAUACAUAAAAUAUUCUACCUUGAGGCUAUGCUUCAAGCGCGCUCAUGCCUUAUUGAAAUAGCUCAUUGCAUUUUCCAUGUAAUAUAAGUUUUAACAAAGUUAUGAACAUUUUUAUGAAUGGCCAUCUAAUGGAACCCGCUUUGAAGGACUUUAGUUAUCGUUCUCGCACCACCAUGGUUUCAUAAAAUGGGCAUGAACAACAAGACUUAUGGAUGUCCCGCAUCUUUGACUCCAUCACACACAUAUGAAUCACUCAUUCCUCAUACUCCCUAAAUAAUUAGGGUUCAUCCAAAUAAUAGUUCUUCACAUCAUAGUGGAAUUUCUUCUUCUGAUAAUGAUUUAUAUCAUCACGAAGCAAACUACAUAUAACAUAAUUCACAUAAUCUAUAUACUACGAUUCAACAUUCUCUUAGAGUUCCAUGAUUAUUU